Molecule: ribosomal RNA, 427 nt
Filed under: uncultured bacterium
Lineage: Bacteria
Description: bacterial SSU rRNA
Rfam family: Bacterial small subunit ribosomal RNA
Source: RNAcentral
UGGGGAAUUUUGGACAAUGGGCGCAAGCCUGAUCCAGCAAUGCCGCGUGCAGGAUGAAGGCCUUCGGGUUGUAAACUGCUUUUGUACGGAACGAAAAGCUUCUGGUUAAUACCUGGGAGUCAUGACGGUACCGUAAGAAUAAGCACCGGCUAACUACGUGCCAGCAGCCGCGGUAAUACGUAGGGUGCAAGCGUUAAUCGGAAUUACUGGGCGUAAAGCGUGCGCAGGCGGUGAUGUAAGACAGGUGUGAAAUCCCCGGGCUUAACCUGGGAAUUGCAUUUGUGACUGCAUCGCUGGAGUGCGGCAGAGGGGGAUGGAAUUCCGCGUGUAGCAGUGAAAUGCGUAGAUAUGCGGAGGAACACCGAUGGCGAAGGCAAUCCCCCGGGCCUGUACUGACGCUCAUGCACGAAAGCGUGGGGAGCAAACA